Molecule: ribosomal RNA, 705 nt
Filed under: uncultured Pseudomonadota bacterium
Lineage: Bacteria; Pseudomonadati; Pseudomonadota
Description: bacterial SSU rRNA
Rfam family: Bacterial small subunit ribosomal RNA
Source: RNAcentral
UGCAGUCGAACGAGAAAGUCACUUCGGUGGCGAUUAAAGUGGCGCACGGGUGAGUAACGCGUAGACAAUCUGCCCCUCAGUCUGGGACAACUUUUCGAAAGGAGAGCUAAUACCGGAUAACAAUGCAUGACACAAGUCAUAUAUUUGAAAGCUUUAUGUGCUGAAGGAGGGGUCUGCGUCCCAUUAGCUAGUUGGUAAGGUAAAGGCUUACCAAGGCAACGAUGGGUAGCGGGUUUGAGAGGACGAUCCGCCACACUGGAACUGAGACACGGUCCAGACUCCUACGGGAGGCAGCAGUGGGGAAUAUUGCACAAUGGAGGAAACUCUGAUGCAGCAAUGUCGCGUGAGUGAAGAAGGCCCUUGGGUCGUAAAGCUCUUUUAUGGGGGAAGAUGAUGACGGUACCCCAAGAAUAAGCACCGGCUAACUACGUGCCAGCAACCGCGGUAAUACGUAGGGUGCGAGCGUUGUUCGGAAUUACUGGGCGUAAAGGGCGCGCAGGCGGAAUAGCAAGUCGGAGGUGAAAGCCCGGGGCUCAACCCCGGAGGGUCUUUCGAAACUGCUAAUCUAGAGAGGGUCAGGGGCCAGCAGAAUUCUUGGUGUAGAGGUGAAAUUCGUAGAUAUCAAGAGGAAUACCGGUGGCGAAGGCGGCUGGCUGGGGCCACUCUGACGCUGAGGCGCGAAAGCGUGGGGAGCAAACAGGAUUA